UCUGAUCAUAUUUUCAAGGAUGCCAAAUAAUUGUUUCAGUAGGCCAAACGACAAGUGAUCUUCACUAGAAGCCCCGCAACAAUCCAACAAGCUAUAAGAAUCAUCUCCUUCCUUCCUUGGCACAUUCUGGAUCAUUUACAGCAUACUGGCAUUUUGAAUUAAGAUGGGGAAGCCAUUCCAAGAACACCGCCACCACCAUCUUAUACUGUGGAUUUAUGCGUGAAUAAAAAGUAACACUUCUGUAAUUGCUGCAGAGGUGCACCCAAAAACACAAGCUAGUCAAUCUCGAGGACCAUCAAGUUUUCAAAGCUGGCUUCAUUGCCAUAUGCCUCUCAAUCAAUUUAUCCACGAAGG
This 354-nucleotide unclassified non-coding RNA is filed under the name Hevea brasiliensis (rubber tree). The record is from RNAcentral. Lineage: Eukaryota; Viridiplantae; Streptophyta; Magnoliopsida; Malpighiales; Euphorbiaceae.